GUAAGGAAUAUUGGUCAAUGGAGGCAACUCUGAACCAGCCAUGCCGCGUGCAGGAAGACGGCCCUCUGGGUUGUAAACUGCUUUUAUCCGGGAAUAAACCUGCCUUCGUGAAGGUAGCUGAAUGUACCGGAAGAAUAAGGAUCGGCUAACUCCGUGCCAGCAGCCGCGGUAAUACGGAGGAUCCAAGCGUUAUCCGGAUUUAUUGGGUUUAAAGGGUGCGUAGGCGGCCUGUUAAGUCAGGGGUGAAAGACGGUGGCUCAACCAUCGCAGUGCCCUUGAUACGGAUGGGCUUGAAUGGACUAGAGGUAGGCGGAAUGUGACAAGUAGCGGUGAAAUGCAUAGAUAUGUCACAGAACACCGAUUGCGAAGGCAGCUUACUAUGGUCCUAUUGACGCUGAGGCACGAAAGCGUGGGGAUCGAACAGGAUUAGAAACCCUUGUAGUCC
This 445-nucleotide ribosomal RNA is filed under the name uncultured bacterium. RNAcentral's name for it is "partial 16S ribosomal RNA". It matches the Rfam family "Bacterial small subunit ribosomal RNA", at positions 354 to 796 of the family's 1533-position model. The record is from RNAcentral.